UGCAUCGGCCGGGAAUCGAACCCGGACCACCCGCGUGGCAGGCGAGCAUUUUACCACUGAACCAUCCAUCGAUGC
RNAcentral lists this transfer RNA (75 nucleotides) under Cordylochernes scorpioides. Its description in RNAcentral is "tRNA-Gly". The record is from RNAcentral. Lineage: Eukaryota; Metazoa; Arthropoda; Arachnida; Pseudoscorpiones; Chernetidae.